Acanthochromis polyacanthus (spiny chromis) is the source of this 137-nucleotide small nucleolar RNA. RefSeq annotates it as small nucleolar RNA SNORA5. The transcript has a single exon. The record is from RefSeq and is a predicted model, not a curated record. NCBI's taxonomy places the organism in Eukaryota, Metazoa, Chordata, Actinopteri, Pomacentridae.
UGCAGCCUUGUCAAAUUCAGUGCUUCCUCCUCAGUGGAUACCGCUGGCCAAAAUGGCUGCCACAGUGAAGGUGUAGUUCAUGGGCCUCAUGGCGCUUCAAAAUGGCCACUGGGGAUAAAUAUGUACUGCACACAAAU